RNAcentral lists this ribosomal RNA (540 nucleotides) under uncultured Chloroflexota bacterium. Its description in RNAcentral is "bacterial SSU rRNA". It matches the Rfam family "Bacterial small subunit ribosomal RNA", at positions 342 to 896 of the family's 1533-position model. The record is from RNAcentral. Lineage: Bacteria; Bacillati; Chloroflexota.
GGGUUGGCAGCAGUAGGGAAUAUUGCUUAAUGGGCGCAAGCCUGAAGCAGCAACGCCGCGUGUGCGAUGACGGCCUUCGGGUUGUAAAGCUACUUUUAGGUGGGAAGAGGAAGGACGGUACCACCUGAAUAAGCCUCGGCUAACUACGUGCCAGCAGCCGCGGUAAAACGUAGGAGGCGAGCGUUAUCCGGAUUUACUGGGUGUAAAGCGCGUGCAGGCGGUUCGUUAAGUUGGAUGUGAAAGCUCCCGGCUCAACUGGGAGAGGUCGUACAAGACUGGCGGACUGGAGUGUGGUAGGGGAAGGUGGAAUUCCGGGUGUAGUGGUGAAAUGCGUAGAUAUCCGGAGGAACACCAGUGGCGAAGGCGGCCUUCUAGACCACAACUGACGCUCAGACGCGAAAGCUAGGGUAGCAAACGGGAUUAGAGACCCCGGUAGUCCUAGCCGUAAACGAUGUGAACUUGGCGGCGGUUGGGUAAAACCGAUCGGUGCCGAAGCAAACGCGAUAAGUUCACCACCUGGGGACUACGGCCGCAAGGUUA